ACUUUGGCUUUUUUAAAAGCCAUUAAAAAAGCUUUAGAAGCAAAG
Molecule: non-coding RNA, 45 nt
Organism: Fulmarus glacialis (Northern fulmar)
Lineage: Eukaryota; Metazoa; Chordata; Aves; Procellariiformes; Procellariidae
Source: Rfam